This 427-nucleotide ribosomal RNA is filed under the name uncultured bacterium. RNAcentral's name for it is "partial 16S ribosomal RNA". It matches the Rfam family "Bacterial small subunit ribosomal RNA", at positions 355 to 774 of the family's 1533-position model. The record is from RNAcentral.
UGGGGAAUAUUGCACAAUGGGCGCAAGCCUGAUGCAGCCAUGCCGCGUGUAUGAAGAAGGCCUUCGGGUUGUAAAGUACUUUCAGCGAGGAGGAAGGCGUUGUGGUUAAUAACCGCAACGAUUGACGUUACUCGCAGAAGAAGCACCGGCUAACUCCGUGCCAGCAGCCGCGGUAAUACGGAGGGUGCAAGCGUUAAUCGGAAUUACUGGGCGUAAAGCGCAAGCAGGCGGUCUGUCAAGUCGGAUGUGAAAUCCCCGGGCUCAACCUGGGAACUGCAUCCGAAACUGGUAGGCUAGAGUCUUGUAGAGGGGGGUAGAAUUCCAGGUGUAGCGGUGAAAUGCGUAGAGAUCUGGAGGAAUACCGGUGGCGAAGGCGGCCCCCUGGACAAAGACUGACGCUCAGGUGCGAAAGCGUGGGGAGCAAACA